UAAGGAAUAUUGCUCAAUGGGAGAAAUCCUGAAGCAGCAACGCCGCGUGGAGGAUGAAGGGUCUAUGACUUGUAAACUCCUGUAAAGAAGGAAAAAAUUCCCAUUUGAUGGGAGAUGAUGGUACUUCUGGAGUAAGCCCCGGCUAACUACGUGCCAGCAGCCGCGGUAAUACGUAGGGGGCAAGCGUUGUCCGGAUUUACUGGGUGUAAAGGGUGCUCAGGCGGAUUUGUAAGUCAGAGGUGAAAUCUUACAGCUUAACUGUGAAACUGCCUUUGAUACUGCAAGCCUAGAGUAUGGAAGAGAGUGAUGGAAUAUCUGGUGUAGCAGUGAAAUGCGUAGAUAUCAGAUAGAACACCGAUGCCGAAGGCAGUCACUUGGUCCAUUACUGACGCUAAAGCACGAAAGCGUGGGUAGCAAACA
This 420-nucleotide ribosomal RNA is filed under the name uncultured bacterium. RNAcentral describes it as "bacterial SSU rRNA". It matches the Rfam family "Bacterial small subunit ribosomal RNA", at positions 355 to 774 of the family's 1533-position model. The record is from RNAcentral.